RNAcentral lists this non-coding RNA (29 nucleotides) under Mus musculus (house mouse). The record is from RNAcentral. Lineage: Eukaryota; Metazoa; Chordata; Mammalia; Rodentia; Muridae.
AAGGCCCAAAGGAACCCUGUCCAAGAAGC